Molecule: long non-coding RNA, 1462 nt
Filed under: Homo sapiens (human)
Lineage: Eukaryota; Metazoa; Chordata; Mammalia; Primates; Hominidae
Description: ATP6V0D1 divergent transcript
Source: RNAcentral
UGACGCUGCAGGGCGGGCGGGGUAAAGAAGGGAGCGAGCCCUUCUCAAGCUUGGAAAGUUUCCAGACUGCUGGGCCAGCCUCCUCCCCAGAGGGAAACUGAGGUCCGAUUGAGGUUUCUCCAAGACCGCCCACUCCUGCUCCUGUCCCCAAACCCCUUUCUGCCUAGGGUUCCUGGAAGCCAAGGAAACAGAACGAACUGUUCCCUGGGUGGGCGAGCCACUGCAGAGUACAAAGCUUUCAGGCCGCCUGCCUCAUUAGCACUAAUGGCUGCUCCCUUCCGCCCUGUGUCGUCAGGACUGUCUAUGCCUGGUCUCAUCAGCACAAGGCUGGGCUGAAGAAGUCCCAGGAGUCCUCCCAUGUCCUCUCAGCAACCCAGGCUGGAGCCUACUCCUUGGUGUUGGCAAAGGAAACCGUCUUUGAAGCCAGAGGGAGCCCUGAAUUCAUGCAGAGGAGUUUUUCUACCUUCCAUCUGCUUCUGCAUAUCAUCUUGUCUACUUAAUGCCCCUCCUUCCGGAUUUAUAGAACAGUAUGCAUAAUAUGACCCCAACUGCAUUCCAAAAAAUAGAUGUAGAUGUAAGCUUAGAGAUGCAAAGAAACUUUUUGAGAGAAUUCACUAUGCUUCUCGCGGGUGGUGACACAGUUCAAGGAGGUUCCAUGGGGUGUAAUGUUUAUCUUUCUCUUUUGUCCUUCUGAUCAUUGAAAUGAUGCUUUGUGUGUGUGAACAUGUAUUACUUUUAUAAUUAAAAUAGAAAAAUUAAUUUGAAUGGGACAAAUGCUCGAAGUCAAAGUCACCUGUUAUAACUGCUGUCACUAACAGGGCAACUGUUUGAAAAUGCUGCAGAAACAUGAGAAAUGUUCAUGAAGUGACCCUGUGGAGGCUUCCGGUCACAGGAUCAUGUGAGCGCCACGAUCACCCCAGGGGUGGAGCAGAUGCUAAGUGUUCACCACACCCAAUUCUCUUCCUGGACACACAGGAAGAUGACAUUUCCAGUGACAUGCCCCACCUCUAGGCCCUAGUCUUUUUUUUAUUUAAAGGUCUGAGUCUUGUUCUGUCACCCAGGCUGGAGUGCAGUGCUGUGAUCAUGACUCACUGCAGCCUCAACCUCCUGUGCUCAAACAAUCCUCCCACCUCAGCCUCCCUAAUAGCUGAUGUCAUAUAGGCAUGAGCCAGUGUGCCUGGCUCAGGCCCUACCCUUAAAAGCAUCCCACCUGAUUCACCAGCCCCCUUCUCUCUCUCAGUAAACUUGGAAACCACGCAUUCCAGAUGGUAUAAUUUACAGCAUGAUGGAAAAAGCCAGCUCUCCAUGGGAAGCUGGCCAGUCUUCAUUGGAGUACAUUUUUAUUGCAUGAAGCCAAUGAGACUUGAUAUUGUUUAACUCUGUGGUUUCCAAAGUGCGGUCCUUUUGAAGUAUCCAUAAAGUCUACACUAGGUUCACGGUAAUAUUAAGAUGUUAUUUGUCA